UGGGGGAUAUUGCACAAUGGGGGAAACCCUGAUGCAGCGACGCCGCGUGUGGGAAGACGGUCCUCUGGAUUGUAAACCACUGUCCCCAGGGACGAAUCUGACGGUACCUGGGGAGGAAGCUCCGGCUAACUACGUGCCAGCAGCCGCGGUAAUACGUAGGGAGCGAGCGUUGUCCGGAAUUAUUGGGCGUAAAGAGCUCGUAGGCGGUUUGUCGCGUCGGCCGUGAAAACCUGCAGCUUAACUGUGGGCGUGCGGUCGAUACGGGCAGACUUGAGUUCGGCAGGGGAGACUGGAAUUCCUGGUGUAGCGGUGAAAUGCACAGAUAUCAGGAGGAACACCGGUGGCGAAGGCGGGUCUCUGGGCCGAUACUGACGCUGAGGAGCGAAAGCGUGGGGAGCGAACAGGAUUAGAUACC
RNAcentral lists this ribosomal RNA (415 nucleotides) under uncultured bacterium. RNAcentral's name for it is "bacterial SSU rRNA". It matches the Rfam family "Bacterial small subunit ribosomal RNA", at positions 355 to 786 of the family's 1533-position model. The record is from RNAcentral.